This 485-nucleotide ribosomal RNA is filed under the name uncultured bacterium. RNAcentral's name for it is "partial 16S ribosomal RNA". It matches the Rfam family "Bacterial small subunit ribosomal RNA", at positions 30 to 506 of the family's 1533-position model. The record is from RNAcentral.
AUUGAACGCUGGCGGCAUGCCUUACACAUGCAAGUCGAACGGCAGCACGGGUGCUUGCACCUGGUGGCGAGUGGCGAACGGGUGAGUAAUACAUCGGAACAUGUCCUGUAGUGGGGGAUAGCCCGGCGAAAGCCGGAUUAAUACCGCAUACGAUCUACGGAUGAAAGCGGGGGACCUUCGGGCCUCGCGCUAUAGGGUUGGCCGAUGGCUGAUUAGCUAGUUGGUGGGGUAAAGGCCUACCAAGGCGACGAUCAGUAGCUGGUCUGAGAGGACGACCGGCCACACGGGAACUAGGCCCGGCCCCGACUUCUUAGGGAAGGCGCCGUGGGGAAUUUUGGACAAUGGGGGGAAGCCUUAUCCAACAAAUCCGGCGUGGGUAAGAAGGCCUUCGGGUUUGAAAGGCAUUUUUUCCGGGAAGAAAAUCCUUGGCCCAAUUACGGUCGGGGAUUGAGGUAACCGGAGGAAUAGGCCCCGGCUAACUACUU